RNAcentral lists this ribosomal RNA (480 nucleotides) under Delftia tsuruhatensis. Its description in RNAcentral is "bacterial SSU rRNA". It matches the Rfam family "Bacterial small subunit ribosomal RNA", at positions 1 to 490 of the family's 1533-position model. Lineage: Bacteria; Pseudomonadati; Pseudomonadota; Betaproteobacteria; Burkholderiales; Comamonadaceae. The record is from RNAcentral.
UUAGAGUUUGAUCCUGGCUCAGAUUGAACGCGGCGGCAUGCCUUACACAUGCAAGUCGAACGGUAACAGGUCUUCGGACGCUGACGAGUGGCGAACGGGUGAGUAAUACAUCGGAACGUGCCCAGUCGUGGGGGAUAACUACUCGAAAGAGUAGCUAAUACCGCAUACGAUCUGAGGAUGAAAGCGGGGGACCUUCGGGCCUCGCGCGAUUGGAGCGGCCGAUGGCAGAUUAGGUAGUUGGUGGGAUAAAAGCUUACCAAGCCGACGAUCUGUAGCUGGUCUGAGAGGACGACCAGCCACACUGGGACUGAGACACGGCCCAGACUCCUACGGGAGGCAGCAGUGGGGAAUUUUGGACAAUGGGCGAAAGCCUGAUCCAGCAAUGCCGCGUGCAGGAUGAAGGCCUUCGGGUUGUAAACUGCUUUUGUACGGAACGAAAAAGCUCCUUCUAAUACAGGGGGCCCUGACCGUCCGAGAGCG